This 425-nucleotide unclassified non-coding RNA is filed under the name soil metagenome. RNAcentral's name for it is "partial contains 5.8S ribosomal RNA, internal transcribed spacer 2, and large subunit ribosomal RNA". The stretch from base 1 to 120 matches the Rfam family "5.8S ribosomal RNA", at positions 35 to 154 of the family's 154-position model. The record is from RNAcentral.
GAUGAAGAACGUAGCGAAAUGCGAUAAGUAAUGUGAAUUGCAGAAUUCAGUGAAUCAUCGAAUCUUUGAACGCACCUUGCGCUCCUUGGUAUUCCAAGGAGCAUGCCUGUUUGAGUAUCAUUAAAUUAUCAACUGUGCCAAUUUGGUUACAGAUUGGAUGUGGGAGAUUCUUUUUGCAGGCCUUUGACUUCUCUUUGAGAAAAAAAAUAAAAGGUCGGCUCUCCUGAAAUGUAUUAGCAGUGCCUUUGUUGGUUCAUUAGGUGUGAUAAAUUGUCUACAUCUUCGCAUGAUACCUUCAUCUGUAAAGGUCAUAUUGCUUCUAAAUUGUCUUUGAUUGGACGCAAAACAUAUAUAAUGUUUGACAAACUUGAUCUCAAAUCAGGCAGGACUACCCGCUGAACUUAAGCAUAUCAAUAAGCGGAGGA